This 447-nucleotide ribosomal RNA is filed under the name uncultured bacterium. Its description in RNAcentral is "bacterial SSU rRNA". It matches the Rfam family "Bacterial small subunit ribosomal RNA", at positions 355 to 825 of the family's 1533-position model. The record is from RNAcentral.
UGAGGAAUAUUGGACAAUGGGCGCAAGCCUGAUCCAGCCAUGCCGCGUGAAUGAUGAAGGUCUUAGGAUUGUAAAAUUCUUUCACCGGGGACGAUAAUGACGGUACCCGGAGAAGAAGCCCCGGCUAACUUCGUGCCAGCAGCCGCGGUAAUACGAAGGGGGCUAGCGUUGCUCGGAAUUACUGGGCGUAAAGGGCGCGUAGGCGGACAUUUAAGUCAGGGGUGAAAUCCCAGAGCUCAACUCUGGAACUGCCUUUGAUACUGGGUGUCUUGAGUGUGAGAGAGGUAUGUGGAACUCCGAGUGUAGAGGUGAAAUUCGUAGAUAUUCGGAAGAACACCAGUGGCGAAGGCGACAUACUGGCUCAUUACUGACGCUGAGGCGCGAAAGCGUGGGGAGCAAACAGGAUUAGAUACCCGCGUAGUCCCUGAGCGGGCUGGCAAGGCGCAU